Long non-coding RNA from Aegilops tauschii subsp. strangulata, 1106 nucleotides. RefSeq lists it as uncharacterized. The record is from RefSeq and is a predicted model, not a curated record. NCBI's taxonomy places the organism in Eukaryota, Viridiplantae, Streptophyta, Magnoliopsida, Poales, Poaceae.
CCACGCGAGACGAAAAAGACCACCGCACCGCGCUCAACGUGCAGGCCCCGCACCCGUCCACUUUCUCCUCCAGCGAAUCGAGCGGGCAGCGAGCGACAGUGAAAGAAACGCUCCCCACGCGCACGAACCCUAGCCGCCGCUCUCCUCUCCCGCGACCCCCAACCACCACCGCUCCUCUCUCCUCUGCCUCGACUCCCAGCCACCCAACCCAAACUCCGGUGGCCUCCUCUCCCUCCAGCGCCGCCGUUCCACCAUCACCUUCCUUCGUCUCCAAAGGAAGGGAAGGGAAGGGGAGGGGAGGCCCCAGAUCGAGCGGAGCGACGCCCAGAUCCGCAGCGGCACCGGCACCAGCGCGCUGUCGUCCACCCGGUCCUCAAGGAAGGCCAUGGAUGGGGGCGGAACCCUAGCCGGCGACUCCUUUUCGUGGCCGCCAAAUCCUUCCCUAGAGCUGCACCGUCAUCCAUCUCUCUACAUGUUUCUCGAUUCGCUGUCGCCACGCGUUGUGCUUCUGGAUCACGUGCAAGUCAUUGCCAUUGGAGAGCAGGGGUGGCGUGGUAUUUAUGGUGGGCAUGGAGCAGGGGAGGAUGAGAGGGGUGGCCAUGAGAUCUGAGAGAAAAGGAGAAGGGGAUGAAUCUUGAGGAAGAUCUUGGUGAAGAAAAAGGUGAUCGAACACAUCCUCGUGAUGGUCCUACUACCCCGUUGGAGGCUGCAUUCCCUGCACAAGCCUCUGAUGAUUUUGUGCCAAGGGAUCCUCCAAGGUCUACUACAAAGGGUAGGGCAAAGAGUCGACGGUACAAAUCGGCGCUGGAGCUACACCCAAAGAAGAAAAACAAAUGCACCCAGUGCCAAUCUACAGAGCACACUGCUGGUGUGUGUCCACUCAGGCUGCUGUGAUUCUCUUUCAUCGUUUGUAACUUUGGGACAAAAAGGAAAAGAAUGAUGGUUUUUGAGCAAUGUUGGGACCAAGUGGACACAUUCAGCAUCUAUGCUUUCUCUUAUCUAAUUUAUGCUCCUUGAAUUAGUCAUGCACUGUGUAAAAAAGGUUGCUAUUUGUGCCUUUGUUGGCAACUGGUUAACUAUUUAGUUGUUGCACAAUUGUAUUUCCA